AGCAGCCGCGGUAAUUCCAGCUCCAAUAGCGUAUAUUAAAGUUGCUGCAGUUAAAAAGCUCGUAGUUGAAUUUCGGGACCAUCAUGUCGGUCGUGCCUUGGUACGUACUGGCAUUAUUGGUUUCUACCUUCUGAAGAACCUCGAUGUCAUUAAUUUGGUGUCUUGGGGAAUCAGGACUGUUACUUUGAAAAAAUUAGAGUGUUUAAAGCAGGCUCGCGCUUGAAUACAUUAGCAUGGAAUAAUGAAAUAGGACGUUUGAUUCUAUUUUGUUGGUUUCUAGGAUCGACGUAAUGAUUAAUAGGGAUAGUUGGGGGCAUUAGUAUUCAAUUGUCAGAGGUGAAAUUCUUGGAUUUAUUGAAGACUAACUACUGCGAAAGCAUUUGCCAAGGAUGUUUUCAUUAAUCAAGAACGAAAGUUAGGGGAUCGAAGACGAUCAGAUACCGUCGUAGUCUUAACCAUAAACUAUGCCGACUA
This 474-nucleotide ribosomal RNA is filed under the name uncultured Glomus. RNAcentral's name for it is "SSU rRNA". It matches the Rfam family "Eukaryotic small subunit ribosomal RNA", at positions 569 to 1048 of the family's 1831-position model. Lineage: Eukaryota; Fungi; Glomeromycota; Glomeromycetes; Glomerales; Glomeraceae. The record is from RNAcentral.